This 253-nucleotide unclassified non-coding RNA is filed under the name uncultured Trueperaceae bacterium. Its description in RNAcentral is "contains 16S-23S intergenic spacer region". It matches the Rfam family "Bacterial small subunit ribosomal RNA", at positions 524 to 776 of the family's 1533-position model. Lineage: Bacteria; Thermotogati; Deinococcota; Deinococci; Trueperales; Trueperaceae. The record is from RNAcentral.
UACGGAGGGUACAAGCGUUAUCCGGAAUCACUGGGCGUAAAGGGCGCGUAGGUGGUCCACUAAGUCCGAUGUUAAAGACCGGGGCUCAACCCCGGCACGGCGUUGGAUACUGGUGGGCUUGACGGCUGGAGAGGCGAGUGGAAUUACCAGUGUAGCGGUGGAAUGCGUAGAUACUGGUAGGAACACCCAUUGCGAAGGCAGCUCGCUGGACAGCACGUGACACUGAGGCGCGAAAGUGUGGGGAGCAAACCGG